RNAcentral lists this ribosomal RNA (332 nucleotides) under uncultured eukaryote. RNAcentral describes it as "partial 18S ribosomal RNA". It matches the Rfam family "Eukaryotic small subunit ribosomal RNA", at positions 1470 to 1796 of the family's 1831-position model. The record is from RNAcentral.
CCCUUAGAUGUUCUGGGCUGCACACGUGCUACACUGGCAGGUUCAGCGAGCUUCAUGCCCUGAUCUGAAAGGAAUGGGAAAUCUUUUCAAAACCUGCCGUGCUUGGGAUAGAUGUUUGCAAUUAUUCAUCUUCAACGAGGAUUGCCUUGUAAGCGCACGUCAUCAGCGUGCAUUUAAUACGACCCUGUAUUCUGUACACACCGCCCGUCGCUCCUACCGAUUGAAGUUUUCGGUGAGUUGACAGGAGGAUUUUUUUGAAACUGGUUCGCCAGUGGAUUUUAGAUCCAAAUGCCAACGAAUCGAUGGCUUUAGAGGAAGGAGAAGUCGUAACA